RNAcentral lists this ribosomal RNA (236 nucleotides) under uncultured bacterium. RNAcentral's name for it is "partial 16S ribosomal RNA". It matches the Rfam family "Bacterial small subunit ribosomal RNA", at positions 95 to 334 of the family's 1533-position model. The record is from RNAcentral.
CGGGCGGACGGGGUGAGUAAUGUAUGGGGAUCUGCCCGAUAGAGGGGGAUAACUACUGGAAACGGUGGCUAUACCGCAUAAUGUCUACGGACCAAAGCAGGGGCUCUUCGGACCUUGCACUAUCGGAUGAACCCAUAUGGGAUUAGCUAGUAGGUGGGGUAAAGGCUCACCUAGGCGACGAUCCAUAGCCGACCUGAGAGGGUGACCGGCCACAUUGGGACUGAGACACGGCCCAA